This 519-nucleotide ribosomal RNA is filed under the name uncultured Glomus. RNAcentral's name for it is "SSU rRNA". It matches the Rfam family "Eukaryotic small subunit ribosomal RNA", at positions 569 to 1092 of the family's 1831-position model. The record is from RNAcentral. Lineage: Eukaryota; Fungi; Glomeromycota; Glomeromycetes; Glomerales; Glomeraceae.
AGCAGCCGCGGUAAUUCCAGCUCCAAUAGCGUAUAUUAAAGUUGUUGCAGUUAAAAAGCUCGUAGUUGAAUUUCGGGAUCAAGUCGUCGGUCGUGCUCAAGUACGUACUGGCGUCAUUGAUUUCUCCCUUCUGACGAACCAUGAUGUCAUUAAUUUGGUGUUAUGGGAAAUCAGGACUGUUACUUUGAAAAAUUAGAGUGUUUAAAGCAGGCUCACGCUUGAAUACAUUAGCAUGGAAUAAUGAAAUAGGACGUUCGAUCCUAUUUUGUUGGUUUUAGGAUCAACGUAAUGAUUAAUAGGGAUAGUUGGGGGCAUUAGUAUUCAAUUGUCAGAGGUGAAAUUCUUGGAUUUAUUGAAGACUAACUACUGCGAAAGCAUUUGCCAAGGAUGUUUUCAUUAAUCAAGAACGAAAGUUAGGGGAUCGAAGACGAUCAGAUACCGUCGUAGUCUUAACCAUAAACUAUGCCGACUAGGGAUCGGAUGAUGUUAAUUUUUAAUGUACUCAUUCGGCGCCUUAAC